This 61-nucleotide transfer RNA is filed under the name Sinotaia quadrata. RNAcentral's name for it is "tRNA-Trp". The record is from RNAcentral. Lineage: Eukaryota; Metazoa; Mollusca; Gastropoda; Architaenioglossa; Viviparidae.
GAGACUUUAAGUUAUAACCAAACUAGCAGCCUUCAAAGUUACAAAAAAGAAUUAAGUCUUA